AGUGAACGCUGGCGGUAGGCCUAACACAUGCAAGUCGAACGGCAGCACAGUAAGAGCUUGCUCUUACGGGUGGCGAGUGGCGGACGGGUGAGGAAUACAUCGGAAUCUACUUUUUCGUGGGGGAUAACGUAGGGAAACUUACGCUAAUACCGCAUACGACCUACGGGUGAAAGCAGGGGAUCUUCGGACCUUGCGCGAUUGAAUGAGCCGAUGUCGGAUUAGCUAGUUGGCGGGGUAAAGGCCCACCAAGGCGACGAUCCGUAGCUGGUCUGAGAGGAUGAGCAGCCACACUGGAACUGAAACACGGUCCAAACUCCUACGGGAGGCAGCGGUGGGGAAUAUUGGAAAAUGGGGGCAAGCCUGAUCCAGCCAUACCCGGUGGGUGAAGAAGGCCUUCGGGUUGUAAAGCCCUUUUGUUGGGAAAAAAAAGCAGCAGGUUAAUACCCCGCUGUUCUGACGGUACCCAAAGAAUAAGCCCCGGCUAACUUCGU
RNAcentral lists this ribosomal RNA (491 nucleotides) under uncultured bacterium. RNAcentral describes it as "partial 16S ribosomal RNA". It matches the Rfam family "Bacterial small subunit ribosomal RNA", at positions 29 to 506 of the family's 1533-position model. The record is from RNAcentral.